RNAcentral lists this transfer RNA (73 nucleotides) under Actinomycetota bacterium. RNAcentral's name for it is "tRNA-Glu". It matches the Rfam family "tRNA". From Rfam's summary of the family: Transfer RNA (tRNA) molecules are approximately 80 nucleotides in length. Their secondary structure includes four short double-helical elements and three loops (D, anti-codon, and T loops). Further hydrogen bonds mediate the characteristic L-shaped molecular structure. tRNAs have two regions of fundamental functional importance: the anti-codon, which is responsible for specific mRNA codon recognition, and the 3' end, to which the tRNAs corresponding amino acid is attached (by aminoacyl-tRNA synthetases). tRNAs cope with the degeneracy of the genetic code in two manners: having more than one tRNA (with a specific anti-codon) for a particular amino acid; and 'wobble' base-pairing, i.e. permitting non-standard base-pairing at the 3rd anti-codon position. Lineage: Bacteria; Bacillati; Actinomycetota. The record is from RNAcentral.
GCCCCCAUCGUCUAGUGGCCCAGGAUACCGGCCUUUCAAGCCGGAGACACGGAUUCGAAUUCCGUUGGGGGCA